UACGUAGGUGGCAAGCGUUGUCCGGAAUUAUUGGGCGUAAAGCGCGCGCAGGUGGUUCCUUAAGUCUGAUGUGAAAGCCCACGGCUCAACCGUGGAGGGUCAUUGGAAACUGGGGAACUUGAGUGCAGAAGAGGAAAGUGGAAUUCCAAGUGUAGCGGUGAAAUGCGUAGAGAUUUGGAGGAACACCAGUGGCGAAGGCGACUUUCUGGUCUGUAACUGACACUGAGGCGCGAAAGCUAGGGGAGCAAACAGG
Molecule: ribosomal RNA, 253 nt
Filed under: uncultured bacterium
Lineage: Bacteria
Description: partial 16S ribosomal RNA
Rfam family: Bacterial small subunit ribosomal RNA
Source: RNAcentral